UGGUGGUGGUUUUUUUAAGUUGCAUAUGUUUUGUUGACUAAGCUGUGAAUAUAAAGGUGAAAAUCGUUUAUGACUGCACUGCAGCCCUCCCAGAGGGUCACUAAGUACUUAAAAGUCUGAUGGACAAGAGGAAGUUCAAAAAGGCAGUUUGCAUUACUGAAAAAACUUAUUUCCAAUAUCUAUUUACAGGGAACAAAAGACAAUUAUUUUCAUGCAGCUGUAUAUUUGUUUUUAAAAAUCAAGCUAAUACAAGAGUUAAUUGUAAAACUGGGUGGUUUUAACUUCAAAUUUAUUUGAAAUAAAAGUGACAACACUGCCUAAUGAUGAGUAUGUAACAGUUCUGAAAUAAAACUAUCUGCAUUCUUUUUAUAUGACUGUGGCUUGUAUCCAGAGUUCUGUGAGCAAAACUCUUCUCGUAGGACUUCUCCCAGGAGGAAGUGCAGGGAGGUGACGUUUACUGAUUCAUAUUUCCCCCUGCAGUGCUCUGAAAAGCUGCUCCAGCAGGGCUGGAGAGCCUCUUCCAGGAAUAACUUGGCUGAAGGGAUAAAAAUUGAAACCCAAAUCUGAUUCCAGACUUCUCAAGAAGUGUAUUGUGACAUAGACUGUGUAAUUAACAAACAUUGUAUUAGUGACUCUAGUCAAUAACUGGUUUCUUAAAAUUACAGGAAUUACUUUAAUAAAGGAAAAGGCCACACAAAGUUAAGACUUGCAGUGCACUGGUGAUGCCUUCAACUCCUUUUUAGCCCAGCUGUGCCAUUACCUGCCCCACUCCUGAUAUCAUACGUUUGUGUAGGGCAAAUAGACAUGGCUUAGCCAAAUGGGGAGGUCUGAUGGACUUUAUUAGGAGCUCACAAUUUCCUUCUGUAAACAAUCAUAAGAACAUGAGAAGAGCCUGCUGGAUUAGGCCAAUGGCCCAUCUAGUCCAGCAGGGAUUUGAACUCUAACCACUACACCACACUGCUGCUUGGAUGCCUGUGGGAAGCCCACAAUCAGGACAUAAGUGCAACAGCACUGCUUGCCUGUGAUUUCCAGCAACUGGUACAGUAUUCAGACUCUUACUGCCUGACAGUACAGAUGGGACAUCACCAUUCUGGCUAGCAGCUGAUGAUAACCUCCUCCUCCUCUUUGAAGCUAUCCAAGUUGGUGAUCAUCACUGUGGAAGUGAGGUCCAUGGCAUGAAUAAGUACUUUCCUCUGUCCUGAAUCUUCCAACAUGCAGCUUUAUUAGAUAUCCGUGAGUUCUAGUGUUGUUAAAAAAAAAUUUCUCUAUCCACUUUCUACAUGCCGUGCAUAAUUUUAUAAAUUUCUAUCAUGUGACUUGCCUUUUCUCAAGUUCUGAAUGCUGCAACCUUUCCUAUUAGGGGAGUUGCUCCAUCCCCUUCAUCAUUUUGGUUGAAUUAUCUUCCUAUGGAUUGAUGGGGGGAAAAACAACAGAUUCCCUGCUCCCAUUUGCCUCUUGAGCCUGGGUCAAGCAUGUGUGUUUGGCGGUCAUAACUGCUAUGAUGGUUCUGGUGGCAUCACCUUUGCCUAGAUGUGCUGACUGCAGGAUGGUUUUAAAAGAUAGUAAAGAGUUCUAUCAUCUUCCACCCUGACUUCUGCAAGGCUAGUAACUUUCCCCCUCUCUCCAGCCCCUGCCGGAUACCCCUAUUUAGACGUUUACCAACAAAUGUGGGUGCGGGUGGCGCUGUGGUCUAAACCACUGAGCCUCUUGGGCUUGCCAAUCAGAAGGUCAGUGGUUCGAAUCCCCAUGAUGGAGUGAGCGCCCGUUGCUCUGUGCCAGCUUCUGCCAACUUAGCUGUUCAAAAGCACACCAGUGCAAUUGGUGGGAAGGUAAAUGGCAUUUCCAUGCGCUCUGGCACUUGUCAUGGUGUCCCGUUGCACCAGAAGCAGUUUAGUCAUGCUGGCCAAAUGACCCAGAAAGCUAGCUGUGGAUGAACGCCAGCUUCCUUGGCCUGAAAGGGAGAUGAGCGCCGCAACCCCAUAGUUGCCUUUGACUGGACUUAACCAUCAUGGGGCCCUUUACCUUACUUUUUUACCUUUUACCAAUAAAGUCAAGUUCUACUUGAAUUUUUUUGGGGGUGGGGAAAAACAAAUAAUAAGCGUUCAGCUUUCAGAAAACAAGUGUUAGCUGAUUAGGCAUUUUAGCUAUGCAGUGUUGAAUGUUAUCUGUAACAUUGUUCUUGCCUGUUUAUCCUUUGUUAUUGUUUUUAUUUAAACCACUCCAUGAACCAAGAACUUGCACAUUGACCACUUACAAUGAACCAUGUUACAGAUAUUACAGCAAAUAUAUACUAUUUUUAUGGUGCCCAUGUGA
Podarcis raffonei (Aeolian wall lizard) is the source of this 2313-nucleotide long non-coding RNA. RefSeq lists it as uncharacterized. NCBI's taxonomy places the organism in Eukaryota, Metazoa, Chordata, Lepidosauria, Squamata, Lacertidae. The record is from RefSeq and is a predicted model, not a curated record. The transcript has 2 exons.